RNAcentral lists this small nucleolar RNA (49 nucleotides) under Pyrobaculum arsenaticum DSM 13514. Its description in RNAcentral is "PARsR39". Lineage: Archaea; Thermoproteati; Thermoproteota; Thermoprotei; Thermoproteales; Thermoproteaceae. The record is from RNAcentral.
GUGAUGACCUAACCGCCGCCCUGAGGAGUGAAGAAAGGCAAAGUGCUGA